CUGCACGCGUGCUACACUGAUGCAUACAACAAGUGCCUAGUCCGCUAGGAUAUGGCAAUCUACAAUAUGCAUCGUGAUGGGGAUAGAUCUUUGCAAUUAUAGAUCUUGAACGAGGAAUUCCUAGUAAAUGCAAGUCAUCAUCUUGCGUUGAUUAUGU
RNAcentral lists this ribosomal RNA (157 nucleotides) under uncultured eukaryote. RNAcentral's name for it is "partial 18S rRNA". It matches the Rfam family "Eukaryotic small subunit ribosomal RNA", at positions 1487 to 1650 of the family's 1831-position model. The record is from RNAcentral.